GUACCGUUGAAGAGUCCUAAACUAGGACGAAACAACUGUCCAGUAC
This 46-nucleotide non-coding RNA is filed under the name Trichobilharzia regenti. Lineage: Eukaryota; Metazoa; Platyhelminthes; Trematoda; Strigeidida; Schistosomatidae. The record is from RNAcentral.